AUGAUUCCCAGGUGGGGAGAUACCACGAUCAUAAAUGCGGUUUUCCCAGGGUGAGGCUUAUCCAUUGCACUCUGGAUGUGCUGACACCUGCGAUUUUCCCAAAUUCAGGAAACUCAACUACAUAAUUUGUGAUAGUGGGAAGCUG
Molecule: small nuclear RNA, 145 nt
Organism: Mesocricetus auratus (golden hamster)
Lineage: Eukaryota; Metazoa; Chordata; Mammalia; Rodentia; Cricetidae
Gene: U1
Rfam family: U1 spliceosomal RNA
About the family: U1 is a small nuclear RNA (snRNA) component of the spliceosome (involved in pre-mRNA splicing).
Source: Ensembl